UGAAUGUAUUUUCUAGUAGUUUCAGUUACAUAGUUGGAAAUAUGUUCUGAAAUUACCACAAAAUCACCUAAUUCGGCUGACCUAUUGUUUGAACCAAUAGAUUAAAUGCAUGGUUACUCGAGGAACGAAAGAAGAUGUGCUAUGAAGGUGGAAGUGAAAAACAAAGUUCGUCUUGUAAGAUCGAUGACGUUGAGCUGUGUUACAUUCUGUAUUGAAACAGUAACAGAGCGACCAUACUUAAGGUUCGCGAGGAAUAUGUUCCCAUAUGCAUGGAGAUUGAUCUGCAUGGAUUAUUAGGCCCUUAAUGAUGGAACACCUGAUGUGAGGAAUGCAGCUUUCUCAGCUUUGGCGGCUAUUUCCAAGAUGGUUGGCAUGAGACCUUUGGAAAAGUCUCCAGAAAAAUCUGGAUGAUGUCAGACAAAAGAAGUAUCUGAAAUGAUUGGGGGUCGACAGGGGAACCUUAUGCUCUUCCAAACUCAGGUGUGGUUCAAUCUUCUCGAGGAGUUAUGACAACGAGGUUGUGAAGAAUUUUGGCUUCAAGAUCUUGUAAAUAUGUCCGGAAUACUAUGAUGUAGGCUUUUCAGAACAAGAGGCUUGAUUAUGCAGUUAAGGAGAGUACUCUUGUAGUCUCAUCACGGAACUGUUGCUAUGGCUUUUGGAUAAUAGAGAUCCGCAGAUGGAUGAUGGAAGUCAACUUUUGUGAGCUUUGAAUGUUCUGAUGUUAAUGAUUCUGGUAACUAUCACUAUAAACUUAUGAGGCAAGCAUGGCUAGUUUUUCUCCUCUCCUUGUGAAUAUAAUUGCCGAUGUGUGGCCGGAUUGCACGUGCAUUAUAACGCAGAACGUACAUCAUUUGCUGUGCUUAUAAAUUUGUUAAGACUUCUGGAUCCAUCAAGAUGGCCAUCUCCAGCUUCAAAUGAGUCUCUUGCAAUCAGAAACCAGAAGUUCUCUGAUUUGGUUGUUAAAUGUUUGAUCAAGAUUACAAAGAUAUUAUAUCUUGAUCUAUUUUAUCUUGUUUUUUUUCUUUUAAUAAUAUAGUGUUCUUAUUAUAUUGAUGUUGUGAAUCUUCCUUUUGUAAGAAUGUUAUGUUGCAUAGUUUGAUGAUCACUCUGACGGCAGUGUUUGAGAGUAUUUGCAUAGUGUUCUUCUGGUAAGAAUGUUAUUGACAACUAUGUUCUUCUGGUCUAGUGUUUCAAUAAUUUAUGCUUAUGCAACUGGUGUAUAUGCUGAUCUUCUCUGCUAUACUUGUUAUUUGACGUACUCAGCAACUUGUAUAAAAUAAAUUUUCUUAUGAUCGAGAUCAUUAUAUGUUGCAUUUUCAUUCGUCAGGUCUAGAACAAGGAGCUCGAACUAGAAGUUGUUUCUAAGGCUGUGGGAUGUGUAUUCUGAAGUACUUGUUUGGCAUUUGAACAAUGUUUCUGGACAAUGUUAUCAAGUCACCACGUAGCCUAGGAACGAGGCAAUUCAAUGCCGUCUCUUACGUUUGCAGAAUCUGUCCACCCCUUAGCCUAGCCCAGUUAUAGGUUUUCUGUGAACUGCAAUUUUAUGUGCAACACUGUGUCUGACCCAAGUCCAAACUAUCUUAAGCUAUAAUAAAUUGAUAUUGUCUUGCUGUUGAUAUUGCUAUUAUACCUUCGCGUGGUUUUACCUUCGUGACUUUAAUUUAUGGCUGUCUUUUACGAGUCUAAGAUAUAUUUCCUAUCAGAACCUUAGGAGAUAUCCGAGUAUGAUGACCUUGUCGAUCCAGUUGAUAUAUUGAAGCCUUUGGAGAAGUCUGGAUUUUGGGAAGGGGUGUUUCAAAAUGGUGUGAGAGGAAAGAGGCUGUUGCUGAACUAACCGAACUUACAUCAACAAAAAAGAUUGCUCAUGGAGAUUUUUCAGAAGUUUGUCGAAUAUUAAAGAACGGCAUUCUUUCAGAAGGCAUAUGCGUGAGUGUGCAUUGUGCACCUUAGAUAAUU
Long non-coding RNA from Salvia splendens (bonfire salvia), 1956 nucleotides. RefSeq lists it as uncharacterized. Lineage: Eukaryota; Viridiplantae; Streptophyta; Magnoliopsida; Lamiales; Lamiaceae. The record is from RefSeq and is a predicted model, not a curated record. The transcript is spliced from 9 exons.